Molecule: long non-coding RNA, 3418 nt
Organism: Oreochromis niloticus (Nile tilapia)
Lineage: Eukaryota; Metazoa; Chordata; Actinopteri; Cichliformes; Cichlidae
Exons: 4
Source: RefSeq, a predicted model, not a curated record
AGUUUAGUUUUCCCAGUAUAGUUUAGUUCUCCGUUCACCAUUUUGUCCAUCUCUUUUGUUGUGUUUGCCUUAGUGGCACCAGCCAUUUUUAGCCGACCUGGUUGUCCAUUUUAAGAUAAAGCCUCUUCUCAUCCCACAACCUGGUAUUCAUCAUCUUUUAUGUUGCGGCUAUGAGCCGGGUCGUAACAGAUGACAUCAGCUCCACACUCCACAAAAGCCCAGAGAUAUUAAUUUAAUAGAUAAUAGAUAUUAAUAUCCAAAAUGUCUAGAAAUGUAAUGUUGUCCUUUGAGAUUUUUGCAUAAGACUUAGGAUGAUAUAAAACUGAAGAUUUAAACUGUUUUAGAACCAUUACACUAUGGAAUAUGGAAUAUGGUAAUAUGGUAUGGUAUGGAAAUGUUAAUUAAAAUGUUAGAUUUAAAACAGCAGAAGUUUUUUUUAAAAGUGGAAUUUAUUCUCUUCAUUUAAAAACAGGACCCAGAGUUCCCAAUCUCUCAUGUCCACGGGUAUUUUUGAAAACGGAAACUUUCCAAUCUUUAUUUUUUUUUUAAAAAUCCCGUCCAUAUGUGCAGUUUUGAAAAACAUAUCUCCGUCCACAUGUAAAUGCUAAAAUCCAAAUGCUGGCCAAUCACAAGUCUAGAAGCCUGGGGGGGCGAAUAAACAGGGUUUUGUAUCCUCACAAAACCUUAAAUACUUCUGAAAAGUUUUGGUCUUUCUGGAAAGGCAGCUAAUUUUGUGUUAUUUUUCGAGUGUCUUCAUCAUUUCAAAUGUUAAUAACUAAAGACAGUAUUUUGCUUGUUGUGUAGACUUAGGAAUGAACAAAAUGCAUACAGCAAACAUAAAUUUAAUUUAAAUAAAAUUAAAUGUAUUCAAAAGCGACAUAGGGAUUGGGGUUGUUACAGCGUCUGUGUUGAAUGUAGAAGCUACGUCCGAAGUUCACUCUGAAGCCUCUGUCUUUCUAAAUGGAGGGACAAUAACUGCGUGUGUAUAUGUAAGCCUGUGAAUACUGCAGAUAGUAAGAUUAACAGCAACAGUAUUUUGUCUAUAUCCGCCAUUGUAGUGUAUCUCAUGUAAACAAUAACGUGGCGCACAGCGUGAGGUCAAAAACAGCGCACGCCUUUGAUGUUGCAUGAGUAAAUCUGUAUUUCUUGUCCACACGUAAAACGCAAAAACUGAGUUUUCAAAAAUCUCCACCCUGGCAGGGGUUUUUAAAAAUCUCCACUUUCAGUGGCCCAAAACGCCGUUUACAUGUGGAUGAAAGGCCCAAACGCAGAGAGAAAUCUGUGUUUUAAAAAAUACCCGUGUACUUGUGGACGUAGCCUCAGAGUUAUCAACAGCUGUUAGCUGUCCAGAAGUUUGGAAAAACUUUGUUCCUUUAUUUCAUCACAGCUCUCCUGUGCUGUGAUGUUCUGUUGGCAUACUGAGAGAAACAUCAGGAAGAUUAAAGCUUAUUGUAGUGAUCAAGCAGGAGUCAAGAUCUUCACCAGCAACUCUGUCAGAGGGAAAUCGUCACUUCAGACCGCUAGGCCCUCCCCAGAAGAUGGAUAAACCCAGCAUUUCAUGAACAAGUGAUAGUGACCUUUGCUUUCUGUAAUGUUAGAAGUACUCACAUCAUCCUCAUAUAAUGCACAGAGGAUCACUUGAUGUAAUAUAAUAUUGAGGACUGUAGAAUGUCAUACAUUUAAACUAUAGAUUAUCCUCUCUGGGUACUCUGGUAUGAAUGACUCUGAAUUACUUUACAGUAAAUAACAGUGUGAGAGAAUUCAAGGUUUAAGUUUUUAGUUCAACAUAACAUACAAGAGAAGACUUUUGAUUUAAUGCUUCCAGAGAAAAUAUAUUCUCUUCAUGCAGAUGACUACAUUUAGUAGGUCUGAGAUCAGCAACUCUUUAAAACACCAAACUGAGUAACUGACACCAGUUACAUGACUGAUAAUCCCUUUGGCUUUAUGUCUUCAACUUUAUCAGUCAGACCACGGGACUGCAGCUUUCAGAGACGGUACAUAAUAAGGUACUUUAGCCAUUGUACUGUCAGUUAACUGGAGUUACUACAAAAUAUGUUUUGUAGAUGUUUACAGCUCCUGUAAUAACAAAGAAUAGAAUCAUCACAAGCUGUGAAGUAUAAAGUUUAUCCCUAAAAUCUGCAAUAAAGCUGAUCCCUUCCUGUCCUGACACACUUCAGGAUCUUAAGUUCAGCUGGCAGAUGUAGCUGUUUGUUUAAAAAAAACAGUAAAGGUAGUUAGUUAGUGAUUGGGCAGCCUGGUGACUCUUCUCUGUUUCUCAUACAAACCAUUUCAGUGUCUCAUCUUCAGCUAUAUUGUGUGCAUUUUAGGACAUCCUAAAAUGAAAGCCAUCUCAGGUGUCUGUCUGCCAAACCAAAAAGGGUACAUGUUACAUGGACUGGGUUGAACAUUCAAAUAUAAUGCACUUCCUGAACCUCAAAUGGGCCAAAGUGUUGCAAACCAGGUUUGCCAUGGCUUCAUCUUGAGCUGACUAAUUCAUGUCUUCAUGUAUCAAUGUCAUGGAUGUGGAUUAUUUCAGUGCAGCCCGCAUGUGCCUAAAAUUUAACAUACUAGAAGGCAGACAAGCUAUGAAGGUGUUUGACCAGUCGGACACAGAAGUAGAUGCAGUGGUAUUGGAAGAAAUAGUGAAGGGGUCACCGGGAACCUUCCGAGUCAUGCUGAGCAAUGAAGAACUUGCAUCAUUCUAAACUUCACAAUGUGUGACCCUCCUGAAGAAGCAGCUGCCACUGAAGGAAGACAACCUAAAAGGCUAUCCCAUAUAAACUAUGAGGCAAAAGAUGACUGAAAAAAUCUUAACAACAAAGCCCGGUGGUGAACACAUCAUACAAGAGUAUGCAAAAACCAAAUCUCUGACAGACGCAACUAGAAGACAGAUGGUAAACAUACUUGCAGCCGAGAUUACAGAAGCACAUGGGUAAGAAUCAUAAAUGUAGGCUAUAGAGAAACAUUUUUAGUAUUGUAUUAUUUUUAAUUGUGAUGUUCAAUGCCAAUUGAGGGACGAUCAUGGCUGAAUUUAUACAUUAGGGGCAGGGGAUUGUUGCUCUGUUUCCAUAUCUACAAGACCCAUAUUCACAACAUGGAUAUGUAAGUAAAGGGGACUUUGCAACAUUAAACACAUAAUUGCUAUCAGAAAUUUUGAUAACAUUGUCAUUCUGCAUGUAUUUAAUUACAUAGGAACAUUACUACGAUCCAGAAAGCGGUUCAGGAUACCUUGCAUGGUGGUUGAAGACCAUUCAAAGAAAAGCUGCAGAGGAAAGAACUCUCUCUCCCAAAAGUUCACAUAUCAUUUAAACCAGCGGUCCCCAACCUUUUUUGCGCCACGGACCGGUUUAUGCCCGACAAUAUUUUCACGGACCGGCCUUUAAGGUGUCGCGGAUAAAUACAACACAAUAAAACUAGU